UGUGUGUUAGUGGAAGCGUCUGGAAAGGCGCGCGAUACAGGGUGACAGCCCCGUACACAAAAAUGCACAUGCUGUGAGCUCGAUGAGUAGGGCGGGACACGUGGUAUCCUGUCUGAAUAUGGGGGGACCAUCCUCCAAGGCUAAAUACUCCUGACUGACCGAUAGUGAACCAGUACCGUGAGGGAAAGGCGAAAAGAACCCCGGCGAGGGGAGUGAAAAAGAACCUGAAACCGUGUACGUACAAGCAGUGGGAGCACGCUUAGGCGUGUGACUGCGUACCUUUUGUAUAAUGGGUCAGCGACUUAUAUUCUGUAGCAAGGUUAACCGAAUAGGGGAGCCGAAGGGAAACCGAGUCUUAACUGGGCGUUAAGUUGCAGGGUAUAGACCCGAAACCCGGUGAUCUAGCCAUGGGCAGGUUGAAGGUUGGGUAACACUAACUGGAGGACCGAACCGACUAAUGUUGAAAAAUUAGCGGAUGACUUGUGGCUGGGGGUGAAAGGCCAAUCAAACCGGGAGAUAGCUGGUUCUCCCCGAAAGCUAUUUAGGUAGCGCCUCGUGAAUUCAUCUCCGGGGGUAGAGCACUGUUUCGGCAAGGGGGUCAUCCCGACUUACCAACCCGAUGCAAACUGCGAAUACCGGAGAAUGUUAUCACGGGAGACACACGGCGGGUGCUAACGUCCGUCGUGAAGAGGGAAACAACCCAGACCGCCAGCUAAGGUCCCAAAGUCAUGGUUAAGUGGGAAACGAUGUGGGAAGGCCCAGACAGCCAGGAUGUUGGCUUAGAAGCAGCCAUCAUUUAAAGAAAGCGUAAUAGCUCACUGGUCGAGU
RNAcentral lists this ribosomal RNA (828 nucleotides) under Escherichia coli. RNAcentral's name for it is "partial 23S ribosomal RNA". It matches the Rfam family "Bacterial large subunit ribosomal RNA", at positions 323 to 1154 of the family's 2925-position model. The record is from RNAcentral. Lineage: Bacteria; Pseudomonadati; Pseudomonadota; Gammaproteobacteria; Enterobacterales; Enterobacteriaceae.